This 72-nucleotide transfer RNA is filed under the name Paramuricea clavata. It matches the Rfam family "tRNA". From Rfam's summary of the family: Transfer RNA (tRNA) molecules are approximately 80 nucleotides in length. Lineage: Eukaryota; Metazoa; Cnidaria; Anthozoa; Malacalcyonacea; Plexauridae. The record is from Rfam by way of RNAcentral.
GGUUCUGUGGUGUAAUGGUUAGCACUUUGGACUCUGAAUCCAAUGAUGCAAGUUCAAGUCUCGGCAAAACCU